RNAcentral lists this transfer RNA (74 nucleotides) under Taphrina deformans PYCC 5710. RNAcentral describes it as "tRNA-Met (CAT) (tRNA-Met-CAT-2-1)". It matches the Rfam family "tRNA". From Rfam's summary of the family: Transfer RNA (tRNA) molecules are approximately 80 nucleotides in length. Their secondary structure includes four short double-helical elements and three loops (D, anti-codon, and T loops). Further hydrogen bonds mediate the characteristic L-shaped molecular structure. tRNAs have two regions of fundamental functional importance: the anti-codon, which is responsible for specific mRNA codon recognition, and the 3' end, to which the tRNAs corresponding amino acid is attached (by aminoacyl-tRNA synthetases). tRNAs cope with the degeneracy of the genetic code in two manners: having more than one tRNA (with a specific anti-codon) for a particular amino acid; and 'wobble' base-pairing, i.e. permitting non-standard base-pairing at the 3rd anti-codon position. Lineage: Eukaryota; Fungi; Ascomycota; Taphrinomycetes; Taphrinales; Taphrinaceae. The record is from RNAcentral.
GCCGCUGUGGUCUAGUUGGUUAUGAUACGAGUCUCAUAAUCUUGUGGCCGGGAGUUCGAUCCUCCCCGGUGGCA